Molecule: ribosomal RNA, 500 nt
Filed under: uncultured Entrophospora
Lineage: Eukaryota; Fungi; Glomeromycota; Glomeromycetes; Entrophosporales; Entrophosporaceae
Description: SSU rRNA
Rfam family: Eukaryotic small subunit ribosomal RNA
Source: RNAcentral
AGCAGCCGCGGUAAUUCCAGCUCCAAUAGCGUAUAUUAAAGUUGUUGCAGUUAAAAAGCUCGUAGUUGAAUUUCGGGAUUGGCGCAUCGGUCGUGCCUCACGGGGUAUGAACUGGUGCAGUCAAUUUCUCACCUUCUGGAGAACCGCGAUGUCCUUAAUUGGAUGCCGCGGGGAACCAGGACCUUUACUUUGAAAAAUUAGAGUGUUUAAAGCAGGCAUUUUUGCUUGAAUACAUUAGCAUGGAAUAAUAAAAUAGGACGGCAUGGUUCUAUUUUGUUGGUUUCUAGGACCACCGUAAUGAUUAAUAGGGAUAGUUGGGGGCAUUAGUAUUCAAUUGUCAGAGGUGAAAUUCUUGGAUUUAUUGAAGACUAACUACUGCGAAAGCAUUUGCCAAGGAUGUUUUCAUUAAUCAAGAACGAAAGUUAGGGGAUCGAAGACGAUCAGAUACCGUCGUAGUCUUAACCAUAAACUAUGCCGACUAGGAAUCAGACGAUGUUAAU